GAUGAACGCUGGCGGCGUGCCUAAUACAUACCAGUCGAGCGAACGGACGAGAAGCUUGCUUCUCUGAUGUUAGCGGCGGACGGGUGAGUAACACGUGGAUAACCUACCUAUAAGACUGGGAUAACUUCGGGAAACCGGAGCUAAUACCGGAUGAUAUUUUGAACCGCAUGGUUCAAAAGUGAAAGACGGUCUUGCUGUCACUUAUAGAUGGAUCCGCGCUGCAUUAGCUAGUUGGUAAGGUAAUGGCUUACCAAGGCAACGAUGCAUAGCCGACCUGAGAGGGUGAUCGGCCACACUGGAACUGAGACACGGUCCAGACUCCUACGGGAGGCAGCAGUAGGGAAUCUUCCGCAAUGGGCGAAAGCCUGACGGAGCAACGCCGCGUGAGUGAUGAAGGUCUUCGGAUCGUAAAACUCUGUUAUUAGGGAAGAACAUAUGUGUAAGUAACUGUGCACAUCUUGACGGUACCUAAUCAGAAAGCCACGGCUAACUACGUG
This 497-nucleotide ribosomal RNA is filed under the name uncultured bacterium. RNAcentral's name for it is "partial 16S ribosomal RNA". It matches the Rfam family "Bacterial small subunit ribosomal RNA", at positions 28 to 507 of the family's 1533-position model. The record is from RNAcentral.